Molecule: non-coding RNA, 71 nt
Organism: Podarcis lilfordi (Lilford's wall lizard)
Lineage: Eukaryota; Metazoa; Chordata; Lepidosauria; Squamata; Lacertidae
Source: the annotation of a GenBank genome assembly
GGGCCCAUGGCUCAGUGGUAGGGCAUUUGCUUUGUCUGCAGAAGGUGCCAGUUCAAUCCCUGACAUCUCCA